UACGUAGGGAGCGAGCGUUGUCCGGAAUUACUGGGUGUAAAGGGAGCGUAGGCGGGACUGCAAGUUGGGUGUCAAAUCUACCGGCUCAACCGGUAGCCGCACUCAAAACUGCAGUUCUUGAGUGAAGUAGAGGCAGGCGGAAUUCCUAGUGUAGCGGUGAAAUGCGUAGAUAUUAGGAGGAACACCAGUGGCGAAGGCGGCCUGCUGGGCUUUUACUGACGCCGAGGCUCGAAAGUGUGGGGAGCAAACAGG
This 252-nucleotide ribosomal RNA is filed under the name uncultured bacterium. RNAcentral describes it as "partial 16S ribosomal RNA". It matches the Rfam family "Bacterial small subunit ribosomal RNA", at positions 524 to 776 of the family's 1533-position model. The record is from RNAcentral.